UACGUAGGGGGCAAGCGUUAUCCGGAUUUAUUGGGUUUAAAGGGUGCGCAGGCGGAAUGUCAAGUCAGCGGUAAAAUUUCGGGGCUCAACCCCGUCGUGCCGUUGAAACUGGCGUUCUUGAGUGAGCGAGAAGUAUGCGGAAUGCGUGGUGUAGCGGUGAAAUGCAUAGAUAUCGCGCAGAACUCCGAUUGCGAAGGCAGCAUGCCGGCUCCACACUGACGCUGAGGCACGAAAGCGUGGGUAUCGAACAGG
RNAcentral lists this ribosomal RNA (252 nucleotides) under uncultured Bacteroidales bacterium. RNAcentral's name for it is "partial 16S ribosomal RNA". It matches the Rfam family "Bacterial small subunit ribosomal RNA", at positions 524 to 776 of the family's 1533-position model. Lineage: Bacteria; Pseudomonadati; Bacteroidota; Bacteroidia; Bacteroidales. The record is from RNAcentral.